Molecule: long non-coding RNA, 4685 nt
Filed under: Homo sapiens (human)
Lineage: Eukaryota; Metazoa; Chordata; Mammalia; Primates; Hominidae
Description: non-protein coding lnc-FTCDNL1-4:12
Source: RNAcentral
ACAGUACUCCCAGCUAUAGCAAGCGGCAGUUAUGGAGCAUGCGCAGCAGCAGGGGCGGCCGCAGGUCGCCGUUCAAUAAUACGUAAUGUAUAGACUUUUGAGUAUACGAAGCUCCCUGUUUCUCUAGGUUCACCUGAGAUUUAUCUGGUCUUUCAGGGCUUAAAAGGGAGACAUUCCCAAAGAAGAUUCCGUGGGAAGUCUCCUACAAGCCCCGAAGGAAGGGAAUCUCUCUCCUCAUACCUUGAGUUUCCUGAGUACAAUUAUUAUAGAUAUACGAAGAUCUCUGUGCUCAUGGAGAAUUUGUGGUUAGAUAUGAAGCUAAUUCAUCUCUGUUUGGGAACAGGGUACAUGAUCUAGGACAGGAAAAAAACGGGGCGAGGCAGUACGCUUUACUUGGUGUUUUGCUAUUUGGAGGUUUUCAAAAACUAAACAGUGUAGGAAAGUCAUGUGUGUCCAGCAACUAUCUGUGGCCAGUUGAGUAGGAAUAAGAUUUGGCGAAAUGUAUGCUCAGGCCUGUACUCCCAGCACUGUGGGAGGCCGAGGCGGAGGAUCACUUGAGUCCAGCAGUUUGAAACCAGCCUGGGCAACAUAGGGAGGCCUUGUCUCUACUAAAUUUUUUUUUUUAAUUAGCCGGGCGUGGUGGUGCAUGCCUAUAGUCCAAGCUACUGGGAGGGCUGAGAUGGGAGAUUGGAUCGCUUGAGCCCAGGAGUUGUAUGCUGCAAUGAGUUGUGAUCCCACCACUGCACUCCAGCCUGGGCAACAGAAGCAGACCCUGUCUCAAAAAAUAAACCAAAAACAAACAAAACAGGGAAAUGUGUGCGAGCGAGGAUGAGAUCCAAGUACUUGUGAGACAAAGCACUGUAAAGAGAAUAAUUAAUGAAAAUUACAAAAAACUACAGCCAACAUUUGUUGAGGGUUUACUAUAGGCCAGAAAUCUAAGCACUUUAUAUAUAAUUGUUCGGAGUUUAUAUAUGUGUAUUUAAGCACACAUACUGUUUUCUUUGGUCUACAUAUGCAAAUAAUAACAAAUGGCUUGGAGUAGGAACAUAAAUGAGCAAAUGAUAAAAUAUGAUUUAUAUAUAUGUAUAGACUUGGUGACUUAGUAUGCUAACCUACUCUGGUCUAAAUUGUUGCAUUCCAUCUGACAUCAAAAUAUUGUUAUCAAUCAAAAAUUAUUCAAUUAAUUACUAAGGAAAUCUGCCGCUUUCUAAAAUAACUGGUUAAAAACAAGUAGAGGUUAGUUAUACAAUAAUUAGUAUAUAAUGACAUUUAGGCAACCUGACGUCACUCUGUUUUGCCAAUUGCAAACAUGUUACUUUCCAUUGUUAGAUAGAGGAUUGCUGAAAUGUUAUCUAAAAGUCCAAACAUGUACAUGAAUUGCAAAUGCAGCUUUUGAUUUGUGGUCUUGUUUUUAGCUUGACCUUAUAAUGAAAUCUAUUUUUAUUUUUAAGUUUAUUUUUUUAAGACAAGAUCUUGCUUUGUCACCCAGGCUGGAGUGCAGUGGCACAAUCUCGGCUCACUGCAAUCUCUGCCCCCCAGAUUCAAGCGAUUCACUUGCCUCAGCCUCCCUAGUAGCUGAGAUCACAGGCAUGUGCCACCACGCCCGGCUAAUUUUUGUAUUUUUUUAAUAGAGACAGGGUUUCUCCAUGUUGACCAUGCUGGUUGCGAACUCCUUACUUCAGUCAAGGGAUUUGUACAGCCCUGUAGGAGACACCUCCAGAGAAAGUAACAGCUCUCAAUUGAUUAGCUGAGAAGCCUCAGGGGCUGGAUCCUGACAUGAACCAGACACCUCCAGAAUUCUAUCCCAAGCAAAAGAUUAUUUCAAGGCCAGAACUCACUCCCUGCUGGAGACUGACUACAAGAUCCACUGAGAUUGAUGUGUAACCUGAUUGGGCCCACAGUGAUGCUAGCCCCUUCACCAGAUGGAACAAUAAUUCCAGACAAGCCAUCAGAGCAGAGAGCAGAGAAGAGGAGAAGCAGCUGGAUGUCAGAGACUGCAGUUUGACGUUGGAGAAAAGCAGCUUGACUUCAGAGGGACAGCUUGACAGCAUGGAUUCAGAGAGGAGAAGAUCACCUUCCUGCUCCGUCCCCUUUCCAGCUCCCUUUCCCACUGAGAGCCACUUACACAGGCAAUAAAAUCCUCUGCAUUCACCACCCUUCAAUUCAUUCAUGCAACCUGAUUUUUUUCUGGAUGCUGAACAUGAGCUCAGGUACCAUGGGUGCAGAUGCAAAAGGCUGUCACACUGACCCUGUGCCCUUGCUGGCAGAAAGCAGCUGCCUCAUGCAAAAAGGCAGAGGGCCACUGAGCUGUCAACACGUAAGCCAUCUGCAGAUGGCAAAGGUAAAAGAGAGCUGACUGUAACACUCCUGGGGCUUCAGGGGUCACCAGUUCCCCUUGCCUGGAUGCUGCUUCAGGAACCACACGGAGUUUUGCUCCUGCUGGUGCCCAAAAGCACUCACACCAGCUCCUGCACCCACUCACCUGUGUGCGCCCUCCUUUGAGGGGUUGAGCACAACCCCUCACAGUUUGAGUAAGUGGAGUUUGCCCCUGUGAACACCAAAGUGGCUGGCUGACUCCAGAGCCCAUACUCCAGAUCCUGCCUGUGAAGGGAUCAGGGAAAAUUUCCUGCUUCAAUAUCUUAGAUGAAUUUUGGCUUUUACAAAAGACAGAAAGAGCUUGUUGAAUAUAAGUGACUUUUGCUUUUAAACUAAACUAAACAGCUACACAACUCUUCUGACAAAGGGAAUACACAGCAUGGCUUCUUGCUUGAAAUGUGGGGGGAGAGAAAACGAGGAAAUAUAGGGAGGACAGGCACAAACUGAUAAAUUAACUUUCUAUAGAUGUUUUAUACUUUUAUAAUUUUUCCACAUUCAAUUUUUUUUUCAGGAUUUUUAGCGUUUAUGUAAUCUCUUUCUAUCAGCAUAUAGUAAAUAACACAUUCAUUUAAAAACCCCAUAUCCUGUCUUAAUAGCAUUCAUAGCCAGAAGAUUUUCUUCUCUCACAAUUUUUUUUUUUUUUAAUUUGCUUAAAAUUGGUCUAUCCCUGAAAGUCAGUCUUUCAUCCUGGCAUCUGAGUCCAUGAAAAAGCCUUAAGUCAUCCCUAGUGACUUUAUAAUCAAAUUCCCUUCAACCAAAUCCUUGUGUGGGCAUUUGCUGACUUAAAAAUUUCCCAAUUGUGAAUUGCCCUUUAGGUUCUGGGUUCUGUGCUCUUCCCUUCAGAAAUUGUUUAGUGUUUUUCCUUCAGCAGAAUUUUCUUUUUUCAUGGAUCUUAAGGGAAUAAUUAGGCAUGAUAUAAAUUCCAGAACCUCUUUACCGUUCUUUUCCUGCAUUUGACAUUCAAUUUUCCUCUCCUAUUUAUUCAUUCAUUGUGUCCCUGUACCUUUUGCUACUUUUCAUUUUGACUCCUUUUCUCUGUGUGUAAAUGUUCAUUCCCUGAUUCCCAAAGUAAACGCAUGACAUUUAGUAUAAUAUUUGGUUGCUUUUCUGCCCCCACAUUUCUGCUGCAUCUUUGUUUUGCUUGUCUCCAGCCCUUUUCAGUUUGUUUGUUCAUACCUUUCUCAUCUCAAACAUAAUUUAUCCCUUUUACCAAACAUUUUAUCUUGGUGUUACUCCUUUUUAAGCUUUGACUCUCUUUUUGUUGGUCACGACUUACAAAAGUUUCGUCUGGGACAAAAGCAAUAGAUUGGCUCUCUGAAUUCUCAUUUGGUAUUUUAUGAUAAGGAAGAAUUAGUUAUUAUCCACAUUUUACAGGUGCCUGAAGAAGAUAUAGAAAGGAAAAUAUUAACAUCGUGCCUUAAACCAUAUGUUAAAUCCUUUUUUUUUUUUUUUUUUUUUGAGACGGAGUCUCGCUUUGUCGCCCAGGCUGGAGUGCAGUGGCGUGAACUCGGCUCAGUGCAAGCUCCGCCUCCCGGGUUCACCCCAUUCUCCUGCCUCAGCCUCCCGAGUAGCUGGGACUACAGGCACCCACCACCUCACCUGGCUAAUUUUUUUUGUAUUUUUUAGUAGAGACGGGGUUUCACCGUGUUAGCCAGGAUGGACUCGAUCUCCUGACCUCAUGAUCCGCCCGCCUCGGCACCCCAAAGUGCUGGGAUUACAGGCGUGAGCCACCGCGGCCGGCCUGUUAAAUCUUUUAGAAAGGCAAACUAGAGCAGAGAACUCCUACCCCCACAUCUAUUACAACCUGGUGCCCCAUCACCUGGGUCCAGGGACCAUCUUCAUUAAAAGUUGUCCUUUGUGCCUUUCUACUCCAAACUCACAGAUUUACAGAUUUGGGCCCCGGAAUCUCUAUUUUUAAAAGAAUUUCCAGGGUUAUUCUUAGGCACAGUAAAGUUAAAAAAAAAAUUAAGCCACUGAUCUAGCUCUGCCUCCUAAGAUAGCUGAGGAACUGAUCCUUUCUGUGCAUAUACAAUGUGUCUAAUAUAGUGCUCCAUUUUAUUCUUACAUAUGCAUAUUAUAGCUAGUCAGGAACAAAAUGACUUUAAACACUUGCCCCCAGGCAAGGGUGCAGGAGCAUGACUGAAGUUCUAUACUCAUAGUUGUUUAUUUUUUGAGACAGAGUUUCACUCUUGUUGCCCAGGCUGGAGUGCAGUGGCACGAUCUUGGCUCACAGCAGCCUCCAUCUCCUGGGUUCCAGUGAUUCUCCUGCUUCAGCCUCCCAAGUAGCUGAGAUUAUGGGCACCCACCAC